UACGUAGGGCGCAAGCGUUGUCCGGAAUUAUUGGGCGUAAAGAGCUUGUAGGUGGCUUGUCGCGUCUGCCGUGAAAAUCCAGGGCUCAACCCUGGACGUGCGGUGGGUACGGGCUGGCUAGAGUGUGGUAGGGGAGACUGGAACUCCUGGUGUAGCGGUGAAAUGCGCAGAUAUCAGGAAGAACACCGAUGGCGAAGGCAGGUCUCUGGGCUGUAACUGACGCUGAGGAGCGAAAGCAUGGGGAGCGAACAGG
This 253-nucleotide ribosomal RNA is filed under the name uncultured bacterium. RNAcentral describes it as "partial 16S ribosomal RNA". It matches the Rfam family "Bacterial small subunit ribosomal RNA", at positions 524 to 776 of the family's 1533-position model. The record is from RNAcentral.